CAGAAUGCUUGACUUUAGUUGUCUUUCAGUAAAAAAUUCUUAAGGUGGUUUGCAGUUUUGAAACCAAUAUCUCCUCUGAGACCCAAACCACAGAGUGCUUUAUGAUAUCUGCACGCAGAUCCUGACAGGCUGCUGAAAAUGUCUCCAUUUCACGCUGUUAUUUGAGCCUCGUGACGUGCUACUUAAACUUGCAAAAAUAUCCUUACUUACUCAAAUAGUAUGAUGGAUGUGAAUGGGGUUACAGGGGAAACAGAAAAAGCUGGAGGGGAACCUUGACAAUAUUGGAAGAGGUUUGAUGUGCCUAGUCUUGUCUUUAUCGGAACAAACUGGUGUGGAUUAUGUCACCUGUCGUGGUGACAGGAGUGCAAUGAUAAUGCUUCCCCAGUUACAAAGUUUCCCUGAAUCUACCUUACAGCUACUUACAGCUGUAAUCUGUAAGAAAUAUACCUUAUGAAAUCUACCUUAUGUUUCUAUGUACAGCUAGGAAUGAGAUUAUGAAUGAUAUGAAUUCCACAACACUUUGUGUUAUAUCUUAUUUUGAAGUAUUAUCACGUUUCUACGUUUCCUCUGUGGGUGAUAGUAAAAAAAAAAAAAAAAAAAAAAAAAAAAGAAAGCAGAUGCAACAGAUGCAAUGACUUUGUGCGUGUGUAAAAAAUGUAGCAUUAAAAAAAAAAAAAGUCAUAAGCAAAAUUAUCAUUUAAUAAAAUAAAUGUUAAAAUUGAUUAGCUUAACCA
Molecule: long non-coding RNA, 734 nt
Filed under: Anas platyrhynchos platyrhynchos (common mallard)
Lineage: Eukaryota; Metazoa; Chordata; Aves; Anseriformes; Anatidae
Description: lncRNA (ENSAPLG00000022155.1)
Source: RNAcentral